CCUACGGGAGGCUGCAGUGAGGAAUAUUGGUCAAUGGUCGGGAGACUGAACCAGCCAAGCCGCGUGAGGGAUGAAGGUACAGAGUAUCGUAAACCUCUUUUGUCAGGGAACAAAGGCGGGCACGCGUCCCCGGUUGAGUGUACUUUAUGAAAAAGGAUCGGCUAACUCCGUGCCAGCAGCCGCGGUAAUACGGAGGAUCCGAGCUUUAUCCGGAUUUAUUGGGUUUAAAGGGUGCGUAGGCGGUCUUUUAAGUCAGCGGUAAAAGCCCGGGGCUCAACCCCGGCCCGCCGUUGAAACUGGCAGCCUGGAGUUGGAGAGAAGUAUGCGGAAUGCGCGGUGUAGCGGUGAAAUGCAUAGAUAUCGCGCAGAACUCCGAUUGCGAAGGCAGCAUGCCGGCUCCACACUGACGCUGAGGCACGAAAGCGUGGGUAUCGAACAGGAUUAGAUACCCGAGUAGUC
This 459-nucleotide ribosomal RNA is filed under the name uncultured bacterium. Its description in RNAcentral is "partial 16S ribosomal RNA". It matches the Rfam family "Bacterial small subunit ribosomal RNA", at positions 338 to 795 of the family's 1533-position model. The record is from RNAcentral.